Molecule: ribosomal RNA, 484 nt
Filed under: uncultured bacterium
Lineage: Bacteria
Description: partial 16S ribosomal RNA
Rfam family: Bacterial small subunit ribosomal RNA
Source: RNAcentral
AUUGAACGCUGGCGGCAGGCCUAACACAUGCAAGUCGAGCGGAUGAAGGGAGCUUGCUCCUGGAUCCAGCGGCGGACGGGUGAGUAAUGCCUAGGAAUCUGCCUGGUAGUGGGGGAUAACGUCCGGAAACGGGCGCUAAUACCGCAUACGUCCUGCGGGAGAAAGUGGGGGAUCUUCGGACCUCACGCUAUCAGAUGAGCCUAGGUCGGAUUAGCUAGUUGGUGGGGUAAAGGCCUACCAAGGCGACGAUCCGUAACUGGUCUGAGAGGAUGAUCAGUCACACUGGAACUGAGACACGGUCCAGACUCCUACGGGAGGCAGCAGUGGGGAAUAUUAGACAAUGGGCGAAAGCCUGAUCCAGCCAUGCCGCGUGUGUGAAGAAGAUCUUCGGAUUGUAAAGCACUUUAAGUUGGGAGGAAGGGCAGUAAGUUAAUACCUUGCUGUUUUGACGUUACCAACAGAAUAGGCACCGGCUAACUUCGUG